Oryza sativa Japonica Group (Japanese rice) is the source of this 5170-nucleotide non-coding RNA. Lineage: Eukaryota; Viridiplantae; Streptophyta; Magnoliopsida; Poales; Poaceae. The record is from RefSeq and is a predicted model, not a curated record.
GUGACUCGACUCGUUCAUCGCUUGCUUCGCUUGGCUGGCCGCGAGUGCUGCGUCAUCCUCCUCGUCGUCUUCCUCCUCGCGAUCGCUGCUCGAUCGUCCACUGCUCCCAACCAAAAAAUUUACCGCCUCUCUCUCUCUCUCCCACGAUUCACCACCACGCGCGAUCUCCUCCACUCCACUGCCGCUGCUGCCCCUUAUCCCCAAACCCUACCGCUGCCGCCGCAUCCUCCCUCCCUCCUCGCCCGCCCGAGGCCCGACGCUUGCGGUUGCAGGCUGCAGCGCAGAGGGAGGCGAGCGGCGAGCCCACGGCGACGAGGGGGGGAGCUCAGGCGGCUCCCGUCCAUGGCGGGGAUCCAACCCGUUUUGGAUGAAAGAAUGGACCCAUUUACUGGUAGAAUGAUUAUACCAGCCUCUACUUGCCAAUCACGAUGUACUGCUCACAAUGAUCUGUCCUUAUUCAGCGGGCCAUUGAUUGACAGAACGUCUUCCUCUUCCAUUAGUGAGUUUAACAGCGAGGCUGAAAAGUUCAACGAUUUGGAAGUGCCGCCACCAUGGUUGUUGUCCUACCAUCGCAGCUGUGAUAUCGGGAGCAACUUUGAGGCGUUUGCAACUGUAAUGUCACGGCUGCGCCAGCACUUGUUGGAUGCAAAUGUAGAGAUUAAUUACACGGAGUACUUAGAUUUGAUGAAACUGGAAGUUGAACAGCACCUUAAUAAGCUCAAGGAGGAUAUAAGGUUCCUGAAAAGUCAUAGCUUGGUCCAUGAUGGUGAUGCAAAUGGUUCAUGCCCUAUGGUGUGUCACCAUGGGAAGCUUGUUGAGAUAUAUGAGGGCUUCAAUGGCUUCAAGCUACUUCUGGUUGUGGUGUUCCGGCAAAUCAAGGAGAUGCUGAGCUUGUUCAGUGCUUCAAUUCGUGAUCUCCAGUGGGAACACGAGAUGCAAUUAGAGGUCACCAGCAUUAUGAUCGGAGACUGCAUUAAAAGCCUUCAGGAUGAGCUAGAGAGGAAGCUGUAUGAACAAAGUUCCAUAGUGAACACUCUGAAAAAGAAUUGGAAGGAAACUGUUGUUCAGUGUGGUGCUAUCCAUGAAGAACUGAUUGACAUUGCUGAUAUGCUUUUACCUUCAGAAGAAGAAUCAAAUAUUUUGAACAGCAAGCAUGAACAUUUUGGUAACUGGAGUAGCGGAUGGAAACACAAAUUCUUUGGAAAAAAGUCAGGGGAAGAACGCACGCCAUCUUCCAAUGAGGAAAACAUCAGCUCCGCAACUCAGAAAUCUGUAUGUCCCAGAGAAGUUAUUUCAGAAAAAUCUGACUUCCGGCAUCUGAAGGGUAUGAAUAGAGAAGAAAUGAUAAAGUACUUCAGAUUUGAGAUUAGUAAACUAAAAAGGCUACAUGAAUUGUCAUUGCAAGAGAAAACCGAAGAGUUGUUCAAAUUCAAACGGGAAAAGGGAUCAUUGGCUCUUAAGUAUGAUCCUGAAUUCGAGCCUUUAAGAAAGAAAGUUCCUGAGAUCAUUUCAAGAGUUGAUCAAAUCAUUUUGAAUACCAUAAAUGCACCUACAGCUUUCAGCACUAAUCAGGUACUUGAGGAAAGGGGCAGAUUGACUGGUAGAAUUGAUUCACUAUACUAUGCAAACCAGAAUCUUCGAGGUUUGCUUGCAGAAAAGAUGAAGGAUAUUAAGGAUUUAUCACGCCAGGUUUCUGAUGCCAGCAGGAAAAUGUCAUUUCAAUUGUCACUGGAGGAGAAACUUUCAAGGCAGCUCCACAAAAUUAAAGGGGACUAUGAGGAUCUACACAUUCAAAGCACUAUUAGAGAUGAAGUGUAUCAAACUGUUACAAAAAGAAUGUUUGAUGAUUAUAGGAACAGCCUGCAGGACCCUGCACUAACUUAUCAAGAAAAAGUGACUUCACUUGAAGCUGCACUCUCAGAAAAGGAGACGGCGUUACGUUUAGCUAAUGAAGAAAACCAGAGGUUAAAGGAGAAGUUGUCAAAACAAGAAAAGGAGCAUGGCAUCCAAAAUAACCAGGACUAUCCUGAGUUAAUCAAACAAGACAAUGAGGAAAUGAUACUCCGUGAUAUCGAGAUGGAGCCUCAUGUAUCACCUAGGAGAUCAUAUGCCAUUUCUGAGCAGAAUGCAGAGUAUGAGGAGCUCAUCAAACUGAAGCAAACUUUAGAGAUUGCCUCAACUGCCUUGAAGGAAGUUGAAUCAAACGAAUUGGAUUAUAAUGGUAUUCUAGGUAAAAAUGAGCAAGAAAAGCAACUAGAAUUCAUUUUGGUAUCCAUUAUGGAUUUGUCAAAAGAAUUUGUGCAGAUUGAAAAUAAAAUGUCAGGGGAUAUGAAGGGAAGUGAAAAAGGGCCUGAAAUUCUGGGUUAUCAAUGCAAGCAUAUGGUACAGCAGGCACUUGUGCUAACAAAGAAGGGCCUUUGGUAUAAGCAAAUGCUAGACACAAGACGGUCUCAACUCCGAAAAGCUGAAGCUGAGGUUGACGUUUUAGGAAAUAAGGUUAGCACACUCUUAAGUCUUGUUCAAAAGAUAUACGUGACUCUCGAGCAUUACUCUCCAGUAUUUCAGCAAUAUCCUGGGUUGCUAGAUGCUUUCUUGAAGACAUGCAAGCUUGUUGCAGGUUUAAGAAGUAAACAAAAAGAGGACUUACAGGAUACAUCUUAAGUUGGAGCAGCUAGUUUUGGUCGAGCAAUAUUCAACAUUUCAACUGCAUAGUAAGUGAUGUUGCUUUUCUUAUUGCCCUUAUCUGUUCAUAGUCUUGUGCUGCCUGUGCGUGCUUCCUGUUAAAGUUUAGUUGAUAAAUUGAAAUUUUCAUUUGGAGCAAAACUCUGAUUCUGGUUACACUAGUUUCUUUAUCUUUCUCAUGAUGGUGCUUCUUGAAACGAUUACAAAUAUCCAAAGCAACUUGGUGCAACAAAUGCAAAACACUAAUGUAAUAUACAAGAAUAUGAUGGAAGAUCACAUUCUAGGCAACAGUCCGAGGACUACCGUCUAAUUCACUUGCUACAGCAUUCCAUGCCAACAGUGCUGCACCAACAGCUGGUUCCACCUGCAGGUAAAGCAAAUAUAAGCUGAUGAAGAUCAAUUUAAAGAUUUCGUCAUAGAAUCCAAAAGAUAUGUGAUGUAGCUGAAUUUCUUCCAUUUCUAUUUGAAUCGAUCUUAAAUUUUACUCAAUCAUUGAAGAUAGAAGAAUCUGAAGACGAUAUCUUGUAGUAGUCAUUAUGAUCAAAGGCAAACUAUUGGUGCAAUUCUGCAUUUGUGUUCACCUUGGGGUGUAUUGGAUAGGCUCCUGGAUAAGUUUUGGUAACACAAUCUAUCACUUCUUUUCCAAUGUCCCAUCUCUUGUUUGCCAUGAGAACUUUACCAACCAUAACAAGAGGAAAAUGGUCUUUUCCAUCUGCAGAAGCAUAAGCAUCUUGUAACAUGUUUUGUUGAGGUAAAGCCAAUAAAGGAAUUUUGAGUUAUGCAUUUCAGUUAGAAAGAAAUCCCUAUCUCACCUUCACCGCUCAAUUCAAGUCUUUGCACUACAGCCUUGACACUGGAAGCUAGUUCACCAACUGAAUUGUGCAAGAUCUUGUUUGCUACUUCAUCACCAGCUUCAGCAGAUUCUACCACAACCGGAAGAAGGUCAGCUAUUCGCGCCCAAGAUUGGUCUUCAUAUGUCCAGCUGUUGUGUGAAGAAGUAAUCAGUAGAACCAACAAAUUGAGUGAGCUAAAGGAUUACCCUAUCAAUUCGUCUGGUGAUGCGAGUCCAAGGAAGUCAAGGAUGCUGUUUGUAAGCGCUGUUUCAGGACCCCGACCAUCAUAAGCCCUCACUACUGCUGUCAAUGCCUGUGCUGAAAUCCCAUAUGCACUGCACAUGCCACACAGCUAGAAUCAAAACUUGUACAGGAGUCCUGGCAUGCAGAUGAGAUGAUACCUCCAACAGAGUUGUGGUUGGAGCAGCCGGCGACGGCGCGGGAGAGGACGGGGAGAGGGUCGGCGAAGGGCAUGGCCGCCGGGAUGCAGACGCAGACGGUGUUGCCGGCGCCGCCGUCGACGCCGAGGAUGACGCUCCCCAUGCGCGGGCUCUGGCUCUUCUCCAUGUCCCAUAUCUCACCACCCGUCUUCGUGUACCUCUGCAUCUCUGCGGACACCAACAGCAGCUAGUGCUAAACAAACAAACUGACACAGUGACAAUGGAGAAGGAUUUCUCUUGCUGUCACCUACAAGUCUGCAACUAGGAUGUUACUGAUCGGCGUUUCUCCGGCUGAUGUUACCGACGGCAGUGGGUUAGCAUACUCUCAAUUAUGGUGACAAAUUCAAUGCUGGUUGGUUUUGCCUUUUGUAUGUCCGAAGAGUUGCAUGAUUUGCAUCAGUGACAUGUCGAAACUGUGCUGCAGUCUAGCAUGCAUAUGCUCCAGCUCUACUCACAAAAAAACUCAAACCAUUUGUGCUCCAAAUGGCAUAGUAUUUUGCUGUCAGAAACGGCAUGCAGAUUAGUUCAGCACUUCAACGCUAGUUUACUUUUCUUACGCCACAUUGUCCAACACCCACUGCCAUCGGUGACGGACAAAAUUCCUCUUCCCAGAAGACCUGCCUUCCAUUAUUAUCAAGACUCAAGAGGACUUAAUCCGUAUUAUAUGCAGCUGCAAGAAUACAUAUAAUCUCUGGUCGUUGUUACCAUUGUUUUUGGAUUGAUCUCAACCCCUUGAUGGCCUCUUCUCCUGCCAAAUGGCUGAUUUCCAUGGCACCACAGCUACAGCCUAUAAGAGUACAAGACAUUCAGGAGGAGACAAGUGAGCUGAUGACAUUGGAUAACUUUCUAGCUUGCGUCCAAACAAAAGCAGAGAAAACUAGCGUAUCUUGAGCAAUCUGUCAAGGAGUUAAAUUAACCUCAAACUGAUGUUGCUAGCAGCAGAUAUGUACUAUCCAGAUGGGGUUGCACUUUUGUACUGCAUAGAGUAUGAUCAGAUAAUGUGUAGCCUCAUGAUCCAAAUGGCUCCAUCGGAUCACAAAAUGCCUAUAUCGGUCUGUUUGGUCUCACUCUCAUCUUUAGGACUGGAGCACAAUCUUUCAACCAUCUUGCAGGAUUGGAACACAGUCUUCCAACCAUCUUGCAAGAUCAUGAUUCAAUUGUGGAACAAAAAAAAAACAUAUAUAUUCCUUUGGGUGAAGAGCUUAUUUUUCUUUC